Non-coding RNA from Anas platyrhynchos (mallard), 2697 nucleotides. NCBI's taxonomy places the organism in Eukaryota, Metazoa, Chordata, Aves, Anseriformes, Anatidae. The record is from RefSeq and is a predicted model, not a curated record.
CCCCGCGCUGUGCAGUGGUGGUGACCACGAGGCCUCAGUGUCCCAGGACGGCUCACCCAUGUCCCUGCAAGAGUGGGGCUGUGCCUUACGAAGUCCGGACCAGCGCUGCGCUGCUCUAAGAGCCCAGGGUCACACAGCACAAGAUUCAUGGCUCUGAUGACCAUGCCUGCUACUCAAGGCAAGAAGACACCAUGCAAAUGAUCCAGCGAGGCUCUCCAGAAGAGGAAGAGGAAUCACACUGAAAUCUUUACUGGUUUAGAUAUGCGGCCUAUAGACAAGUAAGUAAGUCUCACUAUUGUUGAAUUUUAAUAAGUAUCAUUUGGCUGUUGGCACACAUGGGCUGAGAACUACAAAUAAUUAUCUUGGUAAAGAUAACAGUUACCUUGGCCUUCUUUGUAGGUAGAGGCUGAUUUGAGACUCUUUGUGCCUUAAUCCUGACUGCAAUGUUAGUGCCUUAACAACAGAUUUGGUGACUGAGCAGAGGUCCCACAUACCUUAACAUGCAGUCAAAACUCUUGUCUUAACUUCAAGAUAAAAUUCAGUUUCUGUACCUCAGGACACGCAACCCCUCUCGGUUCAGCUAUUUUUAAAUGUUUGAGGCUGGCUGCUCCUGCUGGAGAAAUUCUACCCUGACUGCCAUGAAGCUGAGAUUACCAGAGCUGGGGUUUUUUGCUUGUUUGUUUUUCCCAAUAAAAAAAAUUGCCAUCUACCAAAUAUGCAUCCAUUUAAAUACCACAGCCUGAUUUUGAAACACAGCCCACCGCAGGCUAUUGCCCAGUUCAGUAAAGAAAAUUUAACUAUUAGUUGGCUGAAUUCAACGUGGAGUAAACACUAAAUACAAUUUUUAAAAAGAUGGGCACCAAUGCCACUAGCAUUUCGUCGUUAAACUAUUAAUCUUCCUAUUUCAACAAUUAAGUGCACUCUGAAAAUAAGCUGUCAGGGAAAUAAAUAACAGAUAAACAACUCAUAUUAACAACAAAUUGUCUAUGUACAACAAAAUUCUAUGUUAGUCACUUAACCUUUACAGAAUAUUGUUAUAAUGGAAGCCCUUUUGUGCCCCAGCUUGUGUCUCUGUCAGGAGCAGCUGGAGAGCCAACUAUCUCGACUUAACAACACGAUGCUGCAGAAUUACAGCUCUGCCUUGCUCAGGCACCAGAUGUGGUGACUGAACGUCAGCGGUGAUGCUUAGUGUUUGGGGAGAGCCUUCCAGUACUGGGUUCUGUUUUGCUAAUGCCAGCUGACAAAAGUUAAAGCAGGCAGCCAUAGAAAAUAACAGCCUCUGCAGUGAGGUUAGGGUUGUAUUUAUAACAGGAAUGCUUUACAAUAAUGCUGACACCAUUUUAUCAUCACGGUUCUCUCCUACAAACCAUUCAUGUGCAAACUAAAGAGCUCUUCCCACUACUGCUUUAUACCUGUACCAUUGCUACAGUAGGCUCCAGUGAAGGGGAUAAAUGCCAGACAGGAAUUGUAAGGGUGCAUUUUAUUUUUAGUUUGUGCAUGUAUCUUCUCUUUUUUUUUGUAUGUUUGUUGUUUUUUUUGUUUUGUUUUGUUUUUGUUUGUUUGUUUUGCAUUGGUAUACAAACUCACAUUGUCCAUUUCAGAGUUAAAGAAAAUGAACUUUCAUAACCUCUGCCACUUCGGAUCACCUCUUUAAAAUGUCACUUUACGCAGAAAAGCCGGAGGUAAUUGAGAUAAACAGACAUCUGUACAUUUCAGCCAGUCAUUUAGAAAACAUCUGUAUCCAUCCAUGCAAUGUUAAGACUAUAAGUAACUUUGCAGUUACAUCUGAGCCCAUUGCUAUGGCAACAAGGUAGUCUUUAUCUCCCACAUGCUUUCUACUGAUUCCUUUUUUUUUUUUUUCUUAAAGCAGCUUCCUGAAAUGAAAAACAGAGAAGCAAUGAUUAAGUUAGUCUCUUUCAAACUUUGGAUUCAAGGCUCAUGUGAGGCAGCCCUUUCUAUUUUCCAGCUGUGGAAAAUUUAGAAGCUGAUCUGUCUCAAGAUGAAAAAAUGAACAACUGACAUGGAAAAAUGUGAACUGCAGUUAUUUUCAAUUAAAAGAAGUGGAGUUGGUGAUCUUGGAACACAAGGGUUUUGCUACUGCAGUUAAUUUUCAUCUGAUCCCAAGGAAUUGUACUGCAGUAUCUUUCAAACUAACAGAGCUAUCUGUAAUUUGCUGUUUGCUACAGUGAGAAACCAGUUCAAUUCUGCAAUAGCCUUUUCCAUGCUUAACUUGCAUCAAAGCACACAGCUCAGCUUGACUAACUGUUUGGAACUGUAAGCUUUUUAUUCUGAUAACGUCUCCGCAAUAUCAGACAGUAUUGUGCUAGUGGCCUGCUAGUUUUUGGUUAGCUGCCAAGUCUUGAGCAUGGAAGAUCAAUUAGUAUGCUUUUAAAAUUUUUAUUUAAAUUUAACACCAGGUAAUAUUAACGAUGCUAAAAAGAGGUAAGAAGGUUCUAUUUGUACUUGAAGGGCCUAAUUGAUGUCCGUCAGCGCUCCUCUGACACCCAUUAACUUUGGAAUUCUUCAGUACUUUGAACGUAGCUGCUGGGGAUACCUACUUUUGACGAUACUUUUCCCUACACCCAAGCUGGAUUCACACCUCUCACCAUCGCUUAAGGAUUUGCGGUUAGCUCGUGGAUGUAAAUCCCUUCUCCUCAGCCUGCUAGAGUGAACGCUGGAUACCAUGUACACAACAAG